CAAUAAGCGGAGGAAAAGAAACCAACAGGGAUUGCCCCAGUAACGGCGAAGUGAAGCGGCAACAGCUCAAAUUUGAAAUCUGGCCCCUCGGGCCCGAGUUGUAAUUUGUAGAGGAUGCUUUUGGUGCGGUGCCGCCCGAGUUCCCUGGAACGGGACGCCAUAGAGGGUGAGAGCCCCGUCUGGCUGGCCACCAAGCCUCUGUAAAGCUCCUUCGACGAGUCGAGUAGUUUGGGAAUGCUGCUCUAAAUGGGAGGUAUAUGUUCUUCUAAAGCUAAAUAUUGGCCAGAGACCGAUAGCGCACAAGUAGAGUGAUCGAAAGAUGAAAAGCACUUUGAAAAGAGGGUUAAAUAGUACGUGAAAUUGUUGAAAGGGAAGCGCUCAUGACCAGACUUGGGCUUGGCGAAUCAUCCGGCGUUCUCGCCGGUGCACUUUGCCUCGUCCAGGCCAGCAUCAGUUCGCCGCGGGGGACAAAGGCUUCGGGAACGUGGCUCCUCCGGGAGUGUUAUAGCCCGUUGCGUAAUACCCUGCGGUGGACUGAGGACCGCGCUUCGGCAAGGAUGCUGGCGUAAUGGUCAUCAGCGACCCGUCUUGAAACACGGACCAAGGAGUCGUCUUCGUAUGCGAGUGUUCGGGUGUCAAACCCCUACGCGUAAUGAAAGUGAACGCAGGUGAGAGCUUCGGCGCAUCAUCGACCGAUCCUGAUGUUCUCGGAUGGAUUUGAGUAAGAGCAUACGGGGCCGGACCCGAAAGAAGGUGAACUAUGCCUGUAUAGGGUGAAGCCAGAGGAAACUCUGGUGGAGGCUCGCAGCGGUUCUGACGUGCAAAUCGAUCGUCAAAAUAUGGGCAUGGGGGGCGAAAGACUAAUCGAACCUUCUAGUAGCUGGUUUCCGC
RNAcentral lists this ribosomal RNA (891 nucleotides) under Sepedonium chalcipori. Its description in RNAcentral is "LSU rRNA". It matches the Rfam family "Eukaryotic large subunit ribosomal RNA", at positions 44 to 961 of the family's 3401-position model. Lineage: Eukaryota; Fungi; Ascomycota; Sordariomycetes; Hypocreales; Hypocreaceae. The record is from RNAcentral.